Jaculus jaculus (lesser Egyptian jerboa) is the source of this 6528-nucleotide RNA transcript. It is a transcript of the gene named terminal uridylyl transferase 4, with no coding region annotated. NCBI's taxonomy places the organism in Eukaryota, Metazoa, Chordata, Mammalia, Rodentia, Dipodidae. The record is from RefSeq and is a predicted model, not a curated record. The transcript is spliced from 31 exons.
GGGAAGCCGUGAGAUGAGGAGGCGCCGAGCGCGCCUGUAAGCUUCCCUCCUCCGUCCCCCUUUCCCCCCCGCCCACCUCCACCCCGCAGCACCUCCCUUUCCCUUUCUGCACAAGGGCCUCGCAAGUUGGCUUGCCUAAACUAGAUUUGGAACAUUUCAAACUACUGGAGAUCUGCCAUUUUACAGUAUUUCAAUCGGAAAGAACCAGGUUUUCAAAUAAUGGAAGAGCCCAAGACUUCUAAAAGUGAAAAUCAUGAACCAAAGAAAAAUGCUAUUUGUGAAGAAAGCAAAGCAGUUAAAAUUAUAACUAAUCAAACCUUGAAAGCUAGAAAUGCCAUGCCCAUGACGGCCAUGGGGACCAGUUCUCCGACUCGGCUCAGUAGUGGAGACAACAGGCAGAAUGACACCUGUAUAGAAAAAGCAGAAGUUCAAUCAUGUAAAGCACAUGCUGCCGGUGGUCCAGGCUCUAAGGAUUUGGGGCUAGUUCUUCGAGAUCAUAGUCAUUGUAAAGCAAAACAGCCGCCAAACUCGCCGGUGAAAGUUCAAAAGGCAUGUUCCUCCCAGGCAAAAUUAGAAAAGACAAAAACAGAGAACUUACCAAAGUCACCUAAUUUACCAGUGAAGACAGAGAAAGCGCCCUGUUUACCAGCAGCAUCGGAGAAGGCACUUAGUUCACAGCGGAGAGAACAGAAAGCGCCCACUUCCCAGACGAAGUCCGAAAAGGAAAAGGUCCCCAGCUCGCCAGUGGCAGUGGACAAGGUGCCCACUUCACUGUUGAAAGAAAACAUGAAACAGACGGAUUUGCAACAGACUGGACAGAAAACUAAAAGCUCCCUUAUUUCGGCAACCAAAAUGAAUAGUGAAGAUCUACAGGGAGAAAAGCCUCCUCUGGAAAACGCCCCACCGACCCAGAAGCAGCAGCAGACAGGGACGGAUCCUACUGGUGACUCUGAUGACAGCGCGUCAGGGGCUGAAGACGCGGCGGAGGAUCCGGAUAAAAGGAAGAAUGAUGAAGGCACUAAAGAUGACCCUGCAGAGAUGGACUAUCUAGAAAAUGCCACUGUGACCGACGAGUCGGCCCUGACGCCCGAGCAGAGGUUAGGUUUGCAGCAAGCAGAAGCGCGCUUGGAAAGAGACCACAUUUUUCGGCUUGAAAAGCGAUCACCGGAAUAUACCAAUUGUCGAUAUCUAUGCAAACUUUGCUUAAUUCACAUUGAAAACAUCCAAGGAGCACAUAAACACAUAAAAGAGAAACGACACAAGAAAAAUAUUUUGGAAAAGCAGGAAGAAAGUGAGCUCCGGUCUCUUCCACCUCCUUCCCCUGCCCACUUGGCUGCUUUGAGUUUUGCCGUUGUUGAGUUAGCAAAAGAACAAGGAAUAACAGACGAUGACCUCAGAGUCCGCCAGGAAAUUGUGGAGGAAAUGUCAAAGGUUAUAAUGGCGUGUUUACCAGAAUGUUCCCUGAGGUUGUAUGGCUCAUCUCUGACAAAGUUUGCUCUGAAGAGCAGUGAUGUUAAUAUAGAUAUAAAAUUUCCCCCCAAGAUGAGUCAUCCAGAUCUUUUAAUACAAGUCCUUGGAAUUUUGAAGAAAAGUGUAUUAUAUGUAGAUGUGGAAUCAGAUUUUCACGCUAAAGUUCCUGUUGUGGUGUGCAAAGAUCGGAAAAGCGGUUUACUUUGCAGAGUGAGUGCAGGAAAUGAUAUGGCGUGUCUCACCACCGACUUACUCGCUGCUCUCGGCAGAGUGGAGCCCGUUUUCACUCCCUUGGUGUUAGCCUUUCGCUACUGGGCGAAGCUGUGCUACAUUGACUCCCAGACUGACGGGGGAAUCCCUUCUUACAGCUUUGCUUUAAUGGUGAUGUUUUUCCUUCAGCAAAGGAAGCCCCCUCUUCUUCCUGGCUUACUUGGAAGCUGGAUUGAAGGCUUUGACCCACAAAGAAUGGAUGACUUCCAGCUGAAGGGCGUAGUGGAAGAGAAGUUUGUGAAGUGGGAGUGUAACUCAAGUAGUGGGACUGAGAGAAACGUAGCUGCUGAUGAAAACAAGGCCAAGGCAGAGCAACCAAAAGAUGACGCCAAGAAGACAGACAGCCACAGCCAGAGCGCUGCCAGGAGGGCAAAGCAUGGCAAAUCUCCUUUAACAUUGGAAGCACCAAAUCAGGUAUCGUUGGGACAGUUGUGGUUGGAGCUGCUAAAAUUCUACACACUGGAUUUUGCUUUGGAGGAAUAUGUCAUAUGUGUACGGAUACAAGAUAUUUUAACAAGAGAGAAUAAAAACUGGCCAAAGAGACGAAUAGCCAUCGAAGAUCCAUUCUCAGUCAAGAGGAAUGUUGCAAGGAGCUUAAACAGCCAGCUUGUCUACGAAUAUGUUGUGGAGAGAUUCAGGGCAGCUUAUCGGUAUUUUGCCUGUCCUCAGAAGAAGGGUGGAAAUAAGUCCACAGUGGAUCUCAAGAAGAAAGAGAAGGGGAAAAUAACCAGCAAGAAACCAGUGAAACUGGACAGUGUGACUACCAACUGCAGCCUUCCGCUUGGGGAAAACACAGAAGGAGUAAAUACAGAAAGAGGUCAACCUCCCAAGCACGCAGAGACCGAGUCUCCAUCUCAGAGAUGUGUCGCCGACGGUGACGGUGCGGUGGUGAGUGAACUUGCUUCGUCUGACCAGGGACAGGAGUCGUCACCUCGCUCCACUGCCAGCGAGUACAGCGAACCUGAGCCGCAAGCACUUAACAGAAAAGGUGACUUAACACCUUCAGAAGCUUGUUUAAAGGAGGCGCUCGGCCAGCACAACUGCUCCGGGUCCCUUGACUCAUGUGACUCCUCUGGGACACAUUGCAGAUUGAAGUUAGGAACAGAAGGCUCGCAUCGGACUGCGCACCCCGACAAGCCUGCUACCUCUCCCUGCCCCCCAGUCCCAGAAGUCACCUCCCAGCCCAACGACGGUGACGCCCUCCCCGCCCAGGAACUACAUUAUGUGUUUGAUAAGUUUAUUUUGACUUCUGGUAAGCCACCAACAAUAGUAUGCAGUAUCUGCAAAAAAGAUGGCCAUUCAAAGAAUGAUUGCCCAGAGGAUUUCAGGAAAAUCGAUCUCAAACCUCUACCACCAAUGACAAACCGAUUUCGAGAAAUACUUGACUUAGUAUGUAAAAGAUGUUUUGAUGAAUUAUCACCACCUUUCUCUGAACAACACAACAGGGAGCAAAUUUUAAUUGGCUUGGAAAAGUUUAUUCAAAAAGAAUAUGAUGAAAAGGCAAGAUUGUGUUUAUUUGGCUCUUCUAAGAAUGGAUUUGGAUUUCGUGAUAGUGAUCUGGAUAUUUGUAUGACUCUGGAAGGCCAUGAAAAUGCAGAGAAAUUAAACUGCAAGGAAAUAAUUGAAAAUUUGGCAAAGAUUCUUAAGAGACACCCAGGUUUAAGAAACAUUUUGCCUAUAACUACUGCCAAAGUGCCUAUAGUAAAAUUUGAACACAGGCGAAGUGGAUUAGAAGGUGAUAUCAGUUUAUAUAACACGUUGGCUCAACAUAACACAAGAAUGCUAGCUACUUAUGCAGCCAUUGAUCCUAGAGUACAAUACUUGGGAUACACUAUGAAAGUGUUUGCUAAGCGAUGUGACAUUGGAGAUGCUUCCAGAGGCAGUUUAUCUUCAUAUGCAUAUAUCCUCAUGGUGCUGUAUUUCCUGCAGCAAAGAAAGCCGCCCGUGAUCCCGGUUCUACAAGAGAUCUUUGAUGGAAAACAGAUUCCACAGAGAAUGGUUGAUGGAUGGAAUGCUUUUUUCUUUGACAAGACAGAAGAACUGAAGAAGCGCCUGCCCUCCCUGGGGGAGAACACAGAAUCGCUAGGCGAGCUGUGGCUGGGGCUGCUGCGCUUUUACACCGAGGAGUUUGACUUCAAGGAGUAUGUGAUAAGCAUUCGGCAGAAGAAGUUACUGACAACUUUUGAAAAGCAGUGGACUUCCAAGUGCAUUGCAAUCGAAGACCCUUUUGACUUGAAUCAUAACCUUGGUGCUGGAGUUUCUAGGAAAAUGACAAAUUUCAUUAUGAAAGCAUUUAUCAAUGGAAGGAAACUUUUUGGUACCCCCUUUUAUCCACUCAACGGCAGAGAAGCUGAGUACUUCUUUGAUUCAAGAGUAUUAACUGACGGAGAACUGGCUCCCAACGACCGGUGUUGCCGCGUGUGUGGGAAGAUAGGCCACUACAUGAAAGACUGUCCCAAAAGGAAAAGCAGUUUACUGUUUAGACUAAAGAAGAAAGACAGCGAAGAAGAGAAGGAAGGAAACGAAGAGGAGAAAGACUCGCGGGACCUUCUAGAUCCCCGAGACCUGCGGUGCUUUAUCUGCGGAGACGCGGGGCACGUGCGCAGGGAGUGCCCCGAGGUCAAGCUGGCGCGCCAGAGGAACAGCAGCGUGGCAGCAGCCCAGCUGGUCCGCAACCUUGUCAAUGCUCAACAGGUGGCAGGUUCAGCCCAGCAACCGGGUGACCAGCCCAUGAGGACGAGACAGUCCUCAGAAUGUUCUGAUUCACCCUCUUAUUCCCCUCAGCCUCAGCCCUUUCCGCAGAACGCUCCCCAGCCAGCCGCCCUGGCGCCGCCUCCGUCCCAGCCAGUGACCCAGCCUAAGCUUGGCCCUCCUCAGCAAGGAGCCCAGCCCCCCCAUCAGGUCCAGAUGCCCAUGUAUAACUUCGCCCAGUCUCCACCAGCUCAGUAUUCGCCCAUGCACAACGUGGGGCUGCUGCCGAUGCACCCCCUUCCGAUCCCCGCCCCGUCCUGGCCCAUGCACGGCCCGGUGCUGCACUCGGCCCCCGGCAGCGCCCCCAGCAGCAUCGGCCUCAGCGACCCCAGCAUCAUCUUCGCACAGCCCGCUGCCCGGCCCAUGGCCAUCCCCGGCUCCUCCCACGACGGACAUUGGCCUCGCUCGGUGGCCCCCAACUCCCUCGUGAACAACGGUGCAGUGGGAAGCUCGGAGCCACGCUUUCGAGGACUGACUCCCCCAAUUCCCUGGGAACAUGCACCACGUCCCCACUUCCCCCUUGUCCCAGCUUCGUGGCCUUAUGGUUUGCAUCAAAACUUCAUGCAUCAGGGAAAUCCGAGAUUUCAGCCCAAACCUUUCUAUGCUCAAGACAGAUGUGCCACCCGCCGGUGUCGAGAGCGCUGUCCGCACCCCCCGAGAGGAAACGUGUCGGAGUAGCGCCGUCCACUCCCCUGCAGCUGUCUCCCGACGCACAGCGCCUCCAGCCCCGUGUGUACCUCACUGUCAGCUACCCAACAGAAAACGUGACAUUUAAUGGAAAGCAAAAUAAAUCAGAUGAAAACCUGAAGGAGGAAUGUCAUCGGAGUACAGCAGAGACGCGAACCCUAACUUCCGCCGGCUUCCUCUGCUAGGCGGCAGCGUAGCCAGGCAGCUCUGUGCAGGGAGGCUCGACCCACCACGAGAGAGGCGCCAAGCAAGGCCUGGGUACGAUACCUGGGGACUUGGAGCGGGAUCUGUGUCUGCGCUCGCGGGACCUGCUCCGGUGGCGCCGGGGACUCUUGCUCCUAUGUCGUUCUCGGCGGGGGGAAGGGCUAUGGAAAAGAAGGGUCAGCCCACCAGAAACCAAACCCCUCCCAAAGCCGUCUCCACCUGAAAUGACUACGGGGCCCACCUUCGUCUUUUGGGGGAUCGACUCCGCCUGCAGAGGGGAGAAAGAAACAGUCUAGGUUAGUGCCCCAGUGGAAGUUGCACAAAUGAGCCCACUUGGGAAGGGGAAGGUGCUGGGGAUGGAAAGCAGUGGCCCCGAUCCCCACUCCGCACUCUGAACCUGUAGCACCCUUCCACUCUUUACGCGCUAAGACUGGCCACGUGACUCCCGCUGGCUAACAGGCUAUUUGCAGAUGAGCUAGCAGAAGCCGGGACUGAAAAAGCACGUGGCUGCUGAACAUGGCCCCGUGUUGAGAUGGCAGUGAGCUCGACCUCCUGGAGGAGGCAGGGCACCGUGUCCCUGCUGCGGCCGGCUCCCGGAGCCAGACGCAGUCACAGAGCAGGCAGGCAAACAGCUCCUGCUCGAAACUGCAAGCCCGGGUACAGGUUCAUUCCCUCAGUACACACUUACAGAAACGGGUAGGCUGGCUGGACACGUUGCCCCUCCUGACAGCCACACUCCUAGGUGCACUGCUUAAAACCACCCCAGCGGCUCCGCUCACCUCCGGGGAGAGCGGCUGCGGCUGCGGCGGUAGCGCAGCGCGGGAGAGCGCCGGGGCUUGUCCAGGUCUCGGUAGCUUCUGCGGCGGUGGUCAGGGGACGGCACUCUUUCCAGCUUGACGAGACAGAACAGGGCGCAGCUGAUUACGGAGGCACCCAGCAGGGAUGGCACACCCUCUCCCACUCUAUCUCUAAGAGAGCUGAGAGCACAGGAAGCUGAGGGCACAGGGGGACAGCAGUCUCUCUAUCCACGCAGCACGGUCACCCGGGACUGCAGGAGAAGGAGGGUAAUUCUACUUAUGCCCUUAGAAAGCUGGACCUCCCUCGGGUGGGAAAGACAUCAACAACUUUAAAUAAAAGCCACCGUUU